UACGAAGGGUGCAAGCGUUACUCGGAAUUACUGGGCGUAAAGCGUGCGUAGGUGGUUUGUUAAGUCUGUUGUGAAAGCCCCGGGCUCAACCUGGGAAUGGCAAUGGAUACUGGCAAGCUAGAGUGCGGUAGAGGGUAGUGGAAUUCCCGGUGUAGCGGUGAAAUGCGUAGAGAUCGGGAGGAACACCAGUGGCGAAGGCGGCUACCUGGACCAGCACUGACACUGAGGCACGAAAGCGUGGGGAGCAAACCGG
RNAcentral lists this ribosomal RNA (253 nucleotides) under uncultured bacterium. RNAcentral's name for it is "partial 16S ribosomal RNA". It matches the Rfam family "Bacterial small subunit ribosomal RNA", at positions 524 to 776 of the family's 1533-position model. The record is from RNAcentral.